RNAcentral lists this ribosomal RNA (253 nucleotides) under uncultured bacterium. Its description in RNAcentral is "partial 16S ribosomal RNA". It matches the Rfam family "Bacterial small subunit ribosomal RNA", at positions 524 to 776 of the family's 1533-position model. The record is from RNAcentral.
UACGUAGGGGGCGAGCGUUGUCCGGAGUUAUUGGGCGUAAAGAGCUUGUAGGCGGUUUGUCGCGUCUGCUGUGAAAUUUCGGGGCUCAACCCCGAACUUGCAGUGGGUACGGGCAGACUAGAGUGUGGUAGGGGAGACUGGAAUUCCUGGUGUAGCGGUGAAAUGCGCAGAUAUCAGGAGGAACACCGAUGGCGAAGGCAGGUCUCUGGGCCAUAACUGACGCUGAGAAGCGAAAGCAUGGGGAGCGAACAGG